GACGAACGCUGGCGGCGUGCCUAACACAUGCAAGUCGAACGGGGUGAUUCCUUCGGGGAUCACUUAGUGGCGAACGGGUGAGUAACGCGUGAGGAACCUGCCUUUCAGUGGGGGACAACAGUUGGAAACGACUGCUAAUACCGCAUAACAUGUACGGAUCGCAUGGUCUGUACAUCAAAGCUUUAUGUGCUGAAAGAUGGCCUCGCGUCUGAUUAGCUAGUUGGUGGGGUAACGGCCCACCAAGGCGACGAUCAGUAGCCGGUCUGAGAGGAUGAACGGCCACAUUGGGACUGAGAUACGGCCCAGACUCCUACGGGAGGCAGCAGUGGGGAAUAUUGCACAAUGGGCGAAAGCCUGAUGCAGCAACGCCGCGUGAAGGAAGAAGGUACUUCGGAGUCGUAAACUUACUGUCCUUAGGAAGAUAAUGACGGUACCUUUGGAGGAAGCCCCGGCUAACUACGUG
RNAcentral lists this ribosomal RNA (463 nucleotides) under uncultured bacterium. RNAcentral's name for it is "bacterial SSU rRNA". It matches the Rfam family "Bacterial small subunit ribosomal RNA", at positions 28 to 507 of the family's 1533-position model. The record is from RNAcentral.